AGUGAACGCUGGCGGUAGGCCUAACACAUGCAAGUCGAACGGCAGCACAGUAAGAGCUUGCUCUUACGGGUGGCGAGUGGCGGACGGGGGAGGAAUACAUCGGAAUCUACUUUUUCGUGGGGGUUAAGGUAGGGAAACUUACUCUAAUACCGCAUACGACCUACGGGUGAAAGCAGUGGAUCUUCGGACCUUGCGCGAUUGAAUGAGCCGAUGUCGGAUUAGAUAGUUGGGGGGGUAAAGGCCCACCAAGGCGAGGAUCCGUAGCUGGUCUGAGAGGAGGAUCAGCCACACUGGAACUGAGACACGGUCCAGACUCCUACGGGAGGCAGCAGUGGGGAAUAUUGGACAAUGGGCGCAAGCCUGAUCCAGCCAUACCGCGUGGGUGAAGAAGGCCUUCGGGUUGUAAAGCCCUUUUGUUGGGAAAGAAAAGCAGCAGGUUAAUACCCCGCUGUUCUGACGGUACCCAAAGAAUAAGCACCGGCUAACUUCGUG
Molecule: ribosomal RNA, 492 nt
Filed under: uncultured bacterium
Lineage: Bacteria
Description: partial 16S ribosomal RNA
Rfam family: Bacterial small subunit ribosomal RNA
Source: RNAcentral